This 287-nucleotide unclassified non-coding RNA is filed under the name rhizosphere metagenome. RNAcentral's name for it is "partial ribosomal RNA internal transcribed spacer region". The record is from RNAcentral.
GUAGGUGAACCUGCGGAAGGAUCAUUAACACUGCUAUUGAGCAAUCUCAACUUACUGGAUUUCCUUUCAGUAUUUUACACCCCCCCCCCACACUUGUGAACCUUUGUUUGGAAGUGCUCAUUUGGUUGACCAUUUCCGCUUUUUUUUUUUCUUUCUUCUUUUCUGAAAAAACCCAAUUGAACUAAUUUGACUGAAAUCUUUGUUUGGUCUGCGAAAGCAAAUCAACACAAAACAAAAAAGAGAAAAAAUGUGAAAAACAACUCUUAGCAACGGAUAUCUUGGCUCUC